Molecule: long non-coding RNA, 523 nt
Organism: Fukomys damarensis (Damara mole-rat)
Lineage: Eukaryota; Metazoa; Chordata; Mammalia; Rodentia; Bathyergidae
Exons: 5
Source: RefSeq, a predicted model, not a curated record
UUCUGGGAAGGUGAUCCGAUCAUGGGGGUGCUGCACUCUUCAGUGCUGAGCCAGUGAUGAGUUUAUAGCUAAAGAUGCGGUUAGGAGGCCCUUUCACCAGGCCAUUUCUACCUCGGAGCUAGCUGACCAUGGAGUGAAUCCUCUGAAAACCGACAGAAGUGAGGCAAGGCAGGAGCUGGCAUCGGCAAUCUGGGCUGUGCGCCUUUUAUCCUCUUGGCCUUCCCAAGAUGUUUCACUGAUUGUCUCAGGAGACCUCAGAACAAGGAGUGGGAUUGUGAUGAUUGGAUUAGUCUCAUUCAGCUCCACCUUCAGGACCAGAGAUCCCCCAGAGGAGGACACUUGAAUAAAAUAUGGAGGAAAAGGUGACUAGAUGCAAGAGAGACAGGCCUUCCGUAUGUGAUCACAUAAUUUUCAACAAGGGUACCAGGAUCAUUCAGUGGGAAAAGAAUGCCUCUUGGGAAAAUAGUUUGGAAAAACUGUUUAUUUGCCUGCACACUCUAGAUACAAAAAUCAACUCAAAGAC